Molecule: long non-coding RNA, 3573 nt
Organism: Leopardus geoffroyi (Geoffroy's cat)
Lineage: Eukaryota; Metazoa; Chordata; Mammalia; Carnivora; Felidae
Exons: 5
Source: RefSeq, a predicted model, not a curated record
AGCCAAUCUGUUGGGAAACCAGAGAAAGACAGAGCACUCAUUUUGGGGAGUCACCAAGAAAUAAAGGAUCUAAGGAUUCUGAAAACAGAAUUCAGCAAUGUAAGCAUGAUCUGGCUUGAAUACUAAAUAAACAAACUACCCUCGGCUCAGUUUGCAGAUAAGCUCCAAGAGGUAUGAAGAAGAGGACCAUCGAUGUUAAAAUUCCGUGCACCAAGCUUACGAAGAAUCUCUUAUAGUUGAAGAGUAAAUCUCUUUGUCCUACUAUGUACAGCCCAGGGAAGCGGAGGCUCAGUUUGUCACUCACAUCCUUAAAGGGAAAACACCAUUAGCUGCGUAUUCGCCAGGAAUCGAAGAACUCCGAGAUCCAUUACAGUUUAUACCUCACAAAGAGUGUCAGCUUACUCAGUUUUAGGAAGGCAAAAACUCGACAAGGUGCUCGGUCUGCCCUGACGUGUCCCUGUGAGCACGAGGUCCCACCUGGUCAAGCAGCCCCAUGAGGAGCACCGGCAGGCUGGAGUAGAGCACGUUGUAGAGCGUGAUGAACCAGUCCUCGUACGCCGUCUGUGGGGAGGUUAGAGUCUGCGUCACAAACCAAGACCUGCUGCUGGCCUAGUCCAUGCACAUGCAUUCUUUCUCAACUGGGAGGCCCCCAGCAUGUGUGGGGGCUUCUGCCAGAGUAAAGCCCACUCCUCUGCAUCUGCAGAAGGUGUGAGUUGGGUUCAACGGAACGGGCAGAAUCAACACUCCGCAGAACAGACCUUCCUUCUAAAACGAAUGGGAGAACAUACACCAACACAUUUUUUGGGAAGGGAGUCCGUCCAUUCUAUGUGAAGAAUGCUGGAAAAUAUGUUGGUGCCGAUCCUUUCUGUAUCCCUUUGUUAACAAAUUCGGAAUACAUAAACCCACAGACCGGCCCAAGAAGCACAUAAGAGUACCCAUUGAAGAAGGAGUACCAGAAAUGAACCAACGUAAAUGCGAAGUUUUUGUAAAAGAAAUAUCGAAGGAACUUGCACAUCCUUAUGUAAGACCACCGGCCGUGUACCAACAGCAGUCUCUGCAAGUAUCUGAACUGGGCAAAGGAGUAGUCACUUGACAUGACAGCUUGCAUGCCUUCUUGUCCACUUAUUCCAACACCAAUGUGGGCAGCUGUGGGGCGGAGGGAGAAGAUAUGUGAAUCAUAAGCUAAUUUUAAAGCAAAACAUGGAGAUGAUAAAAAUGUUUCCACAGCAAAACAAAGAAACAGACAUUCUUGGAGCAAUGAAAACUCUUGCUCACCAGCCCCGCCCCAGCUUCUGAACUCAACUUUAUGUCAGAGAUACAAGUGGCUAAAAAAAGCACAUGGCAAGGGCUCUGAGGAGUAUUUGUGGAAGGAUCUCAGGUGGGUGGUAAAUUCCAUUUGGGUUUUCUGCCCAGCUCAUAAGCCAUCCUUCCCACCCACGGAGGGAACCCAAGGAAUCCAUGCAUACUGUGUGUCCCUGCCUCCCUGGCCACAGCUGAGUCAGCUCUGGGCUGGUAGGUCAUUGGUAGCAUAUACAAAUUGGCUCUCCCAACCUUCAUGUCACCCUUGUUCUAUUGGAAAGGUGGGAAAGCAAAUAAAAACCUAACACUGCUCUGACUUCCUCGCAGCAAGGUUCUAUUUGUGAAUUGGGUUCCAUCGUUGCGAGCCACCUGGAGCCCAGCAGCCCUUCCCUUUGUGGCAUUUCUGCAGUAGAGUUCAUAUCCUCUCUCCAGCUGCCUGGAGGUUGACGGACAAAAGUUUUUCAGCUGAAAAGCCCUUCACAGAAGCCUCAAAGUUAGAAGCUCCUCUGGUGCGUGACUAAGACAUUCGAGGCUCAGCCUGGCACCUGCUUCUUCCUGCUUAAAGUACCCAGGGGGGUCUGUUUCUUAUACUAUCCUUGGCACAGAACCCAAGCUGGACCAAUCCGUGUCUCUUUCACAUUUUGGAACUAAGAUUUGGGUUUGUGUUUGUAAUUUUAACUUCUAAAUUCUUGAGUUGUGGGACAGAUACUGAGAGGCAGAAGUAAAGUGGUCUAGAAGGAGGAUUGAACAGAAGCUGGGUUCCUGGUUCCAGCAUCUUCCUGAGGUCUGGCUUUUUGGGAGGCAUGAAACAUCUUUAGAUCUUUUAAAAUAAAUUUCUUUUUGUCUUAAGCUUGCGUUAGCUGUUCUUUAAUAUUUACAAUCAAAAGUGUUUUAACUAAGAUACUAGUUUAUAUAGUAUAUGAUAACUAUAAUAUACUUAGUUAACUAAGAUAUUAAACUUCUAGCAUUUAGUCAUGGCCCACCGUGACCUUAAGAGACACAUUUUUUUUUUUUUUUUUUUUUUUUGGCUGCAGAAGGUUUCCAGAAUGGAUAAAAAUGAAAGUGACAGUUCUGUCCAUCCUUCCAAUAGUCACUUAGUCACAGUUUCAACUUAGCAAAUUACGAAUUUUUAUAGGUCUUAAGAGGCACGGAACUAAAGACAUACUGAGAUCUGCAGAGAAUGUGUGUUGGAGAACAUAACCUAUUAUUACUCAGACCCAGAGACGUGACUGCCAACUCAGCAGGGUUUCCAACUGAAAGCGGCUCCAAAAAUCCUGCCUUAGUGGCAGAGUACAGGGUCUGGCAAAUUCAAGUGACACAGUGACUUGGCCAGACCUACGUUUUCAGUAACACUUUGCAAUUCUAAAAAUUAGAAUGAAUUGCAUGUCUCAUUCAAUAUUUAUGACUUCUUUUUAAACACAUAAAUAAUUCUUAUGACUAGUCGUGGUUGCCAAACUGUGCCUUCCUGCCGAACCAUGGGCUACUUUUCCGAUCAAGCAACAAAGGGAGAUGUUGAGGUUCUCUCGGAGCCAAGGAGAAGGAGCCCCUGAUGUCCAGCCCAGCCUUUUCGCUGAGCACACCAAGGACAGUGUGUGAAAGAACACAGCCACAGUUCACAGGGGAUUCAAGGCAACCAAGGAGAUGUACUUUAUAGGGCUACAUGUUUUUUUCCCUAUAAUCUAAAUAUAGACACCUAGAUUUUCCUGAAGUUUCAAAAAUGUGGUUUCAGAUGCCUCACUGGUAGGCUCCUUCAUAGUUCCUUAACAGACUCAUCAUUUCCUCAAGCCUUUGUGGCUCUGUCUCCCCUCUCAUGCUUCUUGCUUAUUCUUAGGGUCUUAGACCAAGAAAAAACACCACCCACCAGCCAGCAGACAUCUUCAGGCCCAAGAGAGGGAGACAGGGGAGCCCAUGAGAGUCCUUGCGUCCUUGCUAGAGGCAAAAACAUGGGGGGGGUGGGGCGGGGGGUUGCAGUUCCUUCCACUUUUACUAAAUGUGGAACAUGCUAACAAAUGGCCAAGUUUUUCUGACACUUAAAUUUUACUGUAUUUCUUUAUAAACAAAUAUAAUUUCUGUAUAUUGUAUUUUAUACAGGUGAAAGCAAUGCCAGUUUUUCUAAAAUACAAAAAGCCACUAUUAAUACUUGGGUAAAGCUAUGGACUUCCGGGGACACCUGAGUUUCUUUGAUUUGCACCCCAGAUGGAUGUUCCCUGUUAUAUAUAAAAGCACCGACCAUAUAACAAAACUUAAUAAAAUUCUUAGAACAACUUAAGAAAA